UGCCAGCCGCCGCGGUAAUACGGAGGGUACAAACGUUAAUCGGAAUUACUGGGCGUAAAGCGCGCGUAGGUGGUUCGUUAAGUGGGAUGUGAAAGCCCCGGGCUCAACCUGGGAACUGCAUUCCAAACUGACAGACUAGAGUACGAUAGAGGGGGGUAGAAUUCGGAGUGUAGCGGUGAAAUGCGUAGAUAUUCCGAGGAAUACCGGUGGCGAAGGCGGCCCCCUGGAUUGAUACUGACACUGAGGUGCGAAAGCGUGGGGAGCAAACAGGAUUAGAUA
This 279-nucleotide ribosomal RNA is filed under the name uncultured bacterium. RNAcentral's name for it is "partial 16S ribosomal RNA". It matches the Rfam family "Bacterial small subunit ribosomal RNA", at positions 506 to 784 of the family's 1533-position model. The record is from RNAcentral.